UACAGAGGGGGCAAGCGUUGUUCGGAAUUACUGGGCGUAAAGGGCGCGUAGGCGGCCGCCUAAGUCAGACGUGAAAUCCCUCGGCUCAACCGGGGAACUGCGUCUGAUACUGGGUGGCUUGAAUCCGGGAGAGGGAUGCGGAAUUCCAGGUGUAGCGGUGAAAUGCGUAGAUAUCUGGAGGAAUACCGGUGGCGAAGGCGGCAUCCUGGACCGAUAUUGACACUGAGGAGCGAAAGCCAGGGGAGCAAACGGG
RNAcentral lists this ribosomal RNA (253 nucleotides) under uncultured bacterium. Its description in RNAcentral is "partial 16S ribosomal RNA". It matches the Rfam family "Bacterial small subunit ribosomal RNA", at positions 524 to 776 of the family's 1533-position model. The record is from RNAcentral.